Molecule: long non-coding RNA, 7669 nt
Organism: Zea mays
Lineage: Eukaryota; Viridiplantae; Streptophyta; Magnoliopsida; Poales; Poaceae
Exons: 3
Source: RefSeq, a predicted model, not a curated record
AAGGAACCAGAGCGUUGCUUCUCCACGUCUUCGCCGAGUCCGUUCGAGCGCUCGCGAUCCACCUGGGAAAUCCGCCGCCAUCCGCAACCACCUCGUGGCCGCCUUGCCAGCUGGCCAAGGGCCGGGUGGUGCCUUUAUAUACCAGUCGCGACCCUUAUUCACCGAAACCGAAGCACCAUCGUUGAAGACACCGCGGCGAGAAGAGAGAAACCGAGAGAAGGGAGAGAGCGCCGCCGCGCAUGGGCAGAGCGUGUCCAUGCGGUCAUUGGGGCCUCGGGACCGAGUCAAGGGGCGUCGCCAGGCCGCGCUGAACAUGACUGUGACUUCGCCUGGGCGGACUUGCGCUCCGGACCACCGGAAUUUCUCGCCGGAAUCCUCGUGCCGCCACACCGCGUGGUCGGGCCCCUCUGCGCCAUAAACUCCGGUCAAAAACAGGUACCGCUGGAGGAGUAUGAAGGAUGCUGCGAUGAGUACGGAGAGGUCUAGGCCGUCGUCUCCCAGUCAACUAUGGUUAUGGAGGAUCGUCAUCGUCAUAUGGUGUAAUUUAUUUAGUUAUUUUAUACAGAAUUCCUAUUAUAUAAUAAAGAUGUGACAUUGAUUUCUGUACCAUGAGUCAUCAUAUGUGUGAGACUUUAUCCUAGCACACAUUUGAGACGCACCCGGGUUUGCCCUUAAAUCUGGGUGUGACACCUAUAAUGAAUGAAAUGUGAUGGAUCAACUUAUUCUAUUCCACAAACCAAAUAAAUAAAGUGAGGAGUGAGAAGAUGAUAGACUACCUUAUUCCUCUAACCAAACACGCCAUUAGUUCCUUUUCCUGGUAACAGAGAAUAUCACUAGUCUUGGUUUGUUUUAUCAUCUGCAGGUGAAUAGACUUGACUCAAUGCUAUGCCUGGUGGUUGUAGGAGGAGGCUGCCGAUCGAGGUCAAGUAUGCUGGCAUCAUGCUUAGUUAGCGAAGACUGCUAUCUCAGAUAGUGAGUACGACAACCUUUCCAAGUUCAAUUUAUAGGCGGCGGCCUUAGUCCUCAUGUAUUGGUGUGUUUAACUUGUCCGCUUUUUAUUAUCAGAACAUCAGUAGGUUUUGGUUUGUUGUCCGCUUUUAUUAUCAGAACAUGAGUGUGUUUAACUUGGCCUCCGCCUCCCCCUCUGCGCGCCGCCUUCUCGUUCGCCCGCAGCUGCACGGCAACACACACCAGCCACAAGCGUAUCAGCUAGCAAUGCCAGUGUAUAAUCGAGAACAGAGUAAAAAGCUCAGACCGAUCUCGUUCAUCGCACGCUUCACGUGCUGGUCUGGCUCAAUGUCCACGAUCAGGGUCUGGACGAUCUCAAAGCCGUCGCCCAGAAUCAGCUUGGGAACGCUGGCUCUGAUAACUGUCCACACCAACCACACACAGACAUCGACCGUUCCAAAAAAUUAUGCUACAAUUGGCAAAUCAAAACGAAAUCACAAAAUACAGACACUAAACUGGACGUGGAUAGCAAUUCGCAAACGGUUAUGCAGAAAAGCUUCUGUGUUUAUUUCUGAGUAAGCAAUAGAAAGCUUCUGCACAUGCACUAGUCAUAUCGAUGCUGUAUUCUCAGGCAGAUUAAUAGAAAGUAUGGCAUAGGUUCCCGAUCCCCGAAGGAAGAAAAGAAUGACCGUCGCCUGGAAAGAUUUUGUCCAUGCAGAGGAGCCGACCGACCGACCGCCCGGUCGCCAGCGAACAAGGGGCGCCCGGACGGUGCCACCUAGCCAAGAAGUCCAGGCACAAGGUCGGAGCCGGAUGACGUCAUUCGACCCCCGCCGGGACUUGUCCAAGCGCCUCCGGGGUUGCCCCGGGGCUCGUGCGAGUAUACCGCCAGUAUGUAUGCGACUUCACUUGUUUUGGGUACAAGUACUUGUUUUGAUUCUUUUUUUUGAGUACUUGUUUUGGGUACAAGUACUCAAAGAAUAUAUCAAAUGUUUGAAUGGUAAUUACAGAUAUUAAAUAUAGUCUGAUUACAAAACUAAUUGCACAACUGAAGACUAAAAUACGAGACAAAUUUAUUACACCUAAUUAAGCAUAUAUUUAAUACUUAUAAUUGAUAUUCAAAUAUUUGAUGUGACACGAACUAAACUUUAAUCGGAAGAACCAUACACCAAUUAAUAAAUAGUGAUAACAAAAGUAGGGGUUAAAGACCUCGUUUGUCGGGACCUCUAGCAGGGUGGAUGGAUUAUACAACCCUAUUAAGGCCCUGUUUAGAACCUCUAAAGCUAAUAGUUAGAUGUUAAAAAAAUAGUUGCUGGGUUCCAAACACCCCCUGCUAAUACUGCAACUAAUUGUUAGCUACCUCAUAACUAAUAAUUAGUCCCUUCUUCACCGUUUUGCUGAAAAUGUAAGUGAUCUACAUGAAUUUAGUGUGAGGAACCUGAAAUGAGGAUAAUGUUUCAAAACAAACAGUUAUUGAGCUAAUAACAAAAAAAAAUGAACAACAUAUACUGUCUCCGUCCCAAAACAAGUGAUGUGUCAUAAGUCAAACAAUUUUUAAGUUUGAUCAAAUUUAUAGAAAAGAACAUUAAAACUUAUGACACCAAAUAGGCAAAAUAUGAAAAUAUAUUCCAUGAUAAAUCUAACAAUACUUAUUUAGUAUGAUAAACAUUAGUACUUCUUUAUAUAAAUUUGGUUAAACUUAAAAUGGUUUGGCUUAAGACAAACCUAAAACAUCUCUUAUUUUGGGACCGAGGGAGUAUCUCUCAAAUCAUAAUGUAGCAUGAGUGGUAAAGAGUAUUUGAGAAAUGGACUACGUGCUGGCUGAUUCAUAUGGCUGUCUCCAUCAACAGAGAAAAGAAUUUUUAGUGCAGUUCCAAGACCAAGAACUUCCCCACAGUCGACACUACUCGCAUCCAACGCAGUCCAUAAUUGCACUAAUCGAGAAAAUUUUACAUGGUGAGGACCAUUUUCGCCUUUUAGAGUUUGGCUUCAUCAAAAGGCAAUGGACAUGCAGAUCCUAACUUGGAAUUGUAAAGCAAUUGCUUCACAAGAGAUUCUGCACGCUCACCUGUGCAAGUACAGUAAUCAUAGGUCAUGAAUCAUGCCAGGUAUUUUGUAAUACGAUAACAAGAGCUACACUUGCAGUACGAUCUUUCAACUGUCUGAUAUAUUCUUUGAGAUGUUUUUCAUAUUCUCUUAACAUGUCCGUAGCACCACCUAUACUUAGCUCAAGACUUUUCUCUAAGUGUCCAAUAUUUAUUCUAGAGGAAACAGAUCUAAAAAAAUUCAAUCAUGAUUGUCGGUACCCCAUAACUGGGGUACCCACUCCCACUGUGUCAAGACAUAGUGUUCACACGGUUAUCCCUAAUCGUGCGUUAAGGAACUGAGCAACUCGACCUUUUCACGACUCGCCCGAGGCCGAAUCCGAGCGGGAGACACAGUCGUGACUCGCCCGAGACCAACCUCGGACUGGUCGCGACUUUCCGAUUCGCUCGAAGGCGUCUCGGGUGUCUGUCCCCGUCUUAUGGGUAGGACCAGUGCAGCCACGUGUCCAAGGAAGUAAUAUGCUCAGGAACUUCACCAACGGGUUCGGACCCAUGGAUGGGUCCCGGACCCCAUAAACACAGUCCGGACACCCCUGGUAGGACCGGGACCCCCCCGCAUGGGGUCCGGGUCGUUAACAAGGGCUCCCGUCGCCCUGGGGCAGGACAUGCUCCAGUCCCCGUCCAGACCCAAGCAGGGGUCCGGUCACGCCACAUGCCUGCUAAGCGUAUAGUACGAAUCUUCGCACGGAAGCAAGACCUCAGCCCGCAUUAAAUGCAGGGCAGUCGUGGUGCGCUCUGACUAGGCGCAGGGCAUGACAGACCUGUGACAAGUCUGUGUAGCCACACCGCGCAUGCAGAGGUUGGCAGAGCCGCGCGCAUUGAAUGCUCGCUCAGCGUCCCACGUGUUACCGAGGUCGCUGACCCACGCACGCGGGCGACGCCAUCAUGAAGCGCCGUUCGGCCGGAUAUCGUAUCCGUUACAGUGCCCGGCCGAACGUGACAGUGCAGGCGGCUUCUCACGCCCCUACACCUGUCGGCAUGCCAGACUACGCCGCACCCUAUAGUAACAGGCCUUUGCCCACACACCGACAAGACAGGGCAAAGGAGAUGCUGGUUGGGAGAUCCGCGCGACGACCAAGGGAAAGUCCUUAUCCGCCGGCAGAAGAUUAGCUAUUCUGUAUAGUAUAUUUUUAUACUCCUAGGCCCACCUGUUAGGGCUCAUUUUCACUGUAAGCGCCUCCCUUGAACUAUAAAAGGGAAGGCACACAGCACUACAGGGGAACAGACUCUUACACACGCUCAUACGCUCACACGCAGCUCAAGCAAUACAACUCACUCACAGUGGAUGUAGGGUUUUACGCUUCGGUGGCCUGAACCACUAUAAACCCUUGUGUCCUUGUUCAUCGGAUUAGCCAGGCAAACGCUUAAGCCCCCUCCUCAUCUCAGGAUCUUGGGCGGGUGCACUCCGCCACCCGGCCGGAUGAAUCGUUUCCCUCCGUCAUUUGGCGCGCCAGGUAGGGGGUUUUAAGGCUUAGAUUUUUUGCCUGUUUUCUCCUUGCUCGACAUGAUGGUACAGAUCGUCGAGCACCGCGACUCGUACACCGAGGACUUCCUGAUGGGAGAGGAGGCAACGUCUUCUGUGCCGCGAGGCUCUUACCACCCUGCGCCUGGUGCUGCUGCUGUGCAUGCUGCACAGCAGCACACGCUGGUGCAGGCAUCUAGAACUCCCUCGCGGGCUGCUCCUGGCGGCGCGCUGUCAGCGGCUAGGGAGUUGCUCCGCAAUCCCCCAAGCUCCACGGCCUCGCCGGGGGCCAUAAGGCAAUGGCGUGAAGACGUUGAUCGCCUCCUCAGCAUGGCCCAGACCACUCCUGGCUCAGCCAGGACUGGGCCACGACCAUCCCGGCGUCAACGCGACGCGUCAGCAUCCGUGUGCUCACCCUCAGUGAGGGGUGCGUGGACUGACGACCUACGGGUAGAACUCGACCGCAGGCGUGUGGGCGAGGAUGCUCGUGUCUCCCUAGAAAGGGCGCGGGAGCACCGGCAAAACAUUGAGGGUCGCAACCUCGAUCGGGACUUUGGUGCAGUUGCGCCGCAAGCCCCAGGUGACGCCUGAGUCUAGACGGGCGCACCAGUGGCUGGCGUGGGCUGCGCCACGCUCGCGGAUCAUCUCCACGUGGCGACUUGGCCGCCCAAGUUCCGGCCACACCUGCUGGACAAAUACGACGGUACGUCAAACCCGUCGGAAUUCUUGCAGGUCUACGUCACCGCCAUUACGGCAGCUGGUGAAAAUGCCACCGUGAUGGCAAGCUACUUCCAUGUAGCCUUGACCGGGCCGGCCCAGACUUGGCUUUGAACCUCACCCCAGGGUCGAUCUACUCCUAGGAAGAGCUCUGUACGCGGUUCACCACUAACUUCGCCAGCGCUUAUCAACAACAUGGUGUGGAGGCCCACCUCCAUGCAGUGAGGCAGGAACCCGAGGAAACCCUCCGGACAUUCAUUUCCCGCUUCACUAAGGUACGGGGAACCAUACCUUGUAUCUCCGACGCUUCCAUUAUCACUGCCUUCCGACAGGGGGUACGUGAUGAGAAGAUGUUAGAAAAGCUGGCGACGCACAAUGUAGAAAGCGUCACCACGCUCUUCGCCCUGGCCAACAAAUGUGCCAGGGCCGCCGAGGGUCGGGCAUGGCACUCGGCACCGCAGGCUGGGGCUGCCCAGACGGGUGGCUCUGGUGCUGCUGCUCAGGGUGGCGGUGCCGCUGCUCAGGGCGGUGGUGCCGUUGCUCAGGGCGGCGGCAAGAAGAAGAACCGCGGUGGCGAGAAGCCGCUGUCCGGUGCUCUGGUCGCCGCAGCUGCAGCUAGGGGCCAGGAUACGCGUGGCAAGCGCCCACGCCAGCAAGGUGGUGACAGUGGGUCGUGCCCAAUUCAUCCCAACAGCCACCACAGCGCAUCGGAGUGCCGUGAGAUUCUAAAGCUCGCGAAGCGCAUCAGUGAGCGGCGCGAACAGGCCUCCAAGGAAGGCACGCUGCCUCACCGCUGGCCUGGCAAGGAGAAGGCCGAUGACUUCAAUGCGACCGCGGGCGAGCGGGACCUCAUGUACCAGUCCCCCGAGCAAGUCCUGAGGGACGUCCUCUUCGGGGACUCCGACUCCGGCGACGACGACCGCCGCAAGAAGCUGUACGUAAUGUAAGGCGGGAGCUGGGAGCUCGUCUCCUGGAGGGAUGUAAAAUCCCUGCGCCGCAGGGUCCUCUCGGCAACCCCGGGCAUCCCAAAGGCGGCUCCUCAUCAGCGAUGGCGGAGUACCACCAUCUCCUUCAGGGCAUCUGACUGCCCCGAUAACAUGGCGGGGCCCAGCAUACUGCCGCUCAUCACCGCCCCCGUCAUCACCAACAUAAGGUUGCACCACGUGCUGAUCGACGGUGGGACCGACCUCAACGUCAUCAGCCAUGCUACGUUCAAGCAGCUCCAGAUCCCAGAAUCCAAGCUGGGACCCUCUCGCCCAUUCUCCGGGGUGGGCCCUUAGCCGGUGUAUCCCCUUGGGAGCAUCGCGCUCCCGGUUACGUUUGGGACCGAGGAAAACCUCCGCACCGAGAGCGUUCCGUUCGACGUCGCGGAGGUUAACCUCCCGUUCAAUGCCAUCAUUGGCAGACCGGCCCUGUACCGGUUCAUGGCCAUUGCCCACUACGGGUACUUGGUCCUGAAGAUGUCGUUCCCUGCUGGUGUCCUCACCGUGCGGGGCGACCAGGCUGCAGCACUCUGUAGGAUCUAGGACACCGGCUAGAGGUGGGGGGUGAAUAGACGGUUUUGACUAAAAACAAAGACACUAGAGAAAUUUAAUCAAUACGACAAGAGAUAUAAAUUCUCUAGCUACAACAAGUAAGCAUUCUAUGAGAAACAACUAUGAUAGUGCUAGAAAUGAGAGUCAAUACACAAAUUACUAACUACUUGCAAAGUAAUAAGUAAUGCGGGAAGAGAAUGACACCAGAUUUUAUCCCAUGGUAUCGGUGAUUUGCCGAUCACCCCUAAUCCACGUUGAGGUGGACUUCAAGCUCUCACUUGCUCCUCUAUCAAGACGCGGCUUGAUCUUUGAGCCAAGUGGACAAGAAAUCGCUCAAUACCUCGAUUCCACUAGCGUCGCCUUUGCCGCUCCGGUGAGGUAGGCGCGAACCCCUCACAAUCAACACCGCGACUCCUCCACAAUCUUUUUGGAGAGCUCGACGGAGACAACACCCGAGCCGUCUAGGAGGCGGCAACCUCCAAGAGUAACAAGCCGAUGACGCUUGCCCGGUGUACCACCUAGUGCCUCAAGAAUCACCAAUGGAUGCAAAUGCACUAGGAGCUCUCAAUCUCUCACUAGAAUGCAAUCCCAAGCAAAGAGUGUGAGAGAAUGAGUGGGAGAAUCACAAAUGAGCUCAAUGUGUGCUAGGAAUGGCCAAGAGAGUCCUCACACACGAGCUCCCCUUCUAUUUAUAGCCCACCUCUCAAAACCAACCGUUAUGUGCAAAAAGCACAGCUUCUGCGCACACGCGGACGGUCCGCGCCCUUAGGCCGAACGGUCCGCCGUACCAGUAAUGGCUAGAUUUCCUGUUUGAAACUUGUUAGAGUUGUCAAAAAAGGCAGGUCCAGACGGUCUUCCUCCCACGGCCGGACGGUCCGAGACCUGGCAACUUAAACACACCC